GGGGAAUAUUGCACAAUGGGGGAAACCCUGAUGCAGCGACGCCGCGUGAGUGAAGAAGUAUUUCGGUAUGUAAAGCUCUAUCAGCAGGGACGAUAAUGACGGUACCUGACUAAGAAGCCCCGGCUAACUACGUGCCAGCAGCCGCGGUAAUACGUAGGGGGCAAGCGUUAUCCGGAUUUACUGGGUGUAAAGGGAGCGUAGACGGUUAUGUAAGUCAGAUGUGAAAGCCCAGGGCUCAACCCUGGGACUGCAUUUGAAACUAUGUAACUGGAGUGCAGGAGAGGUAAGUGGAAUUCCUAGUGUAGCGGUGAAAUGCGUAGAUAUUAGGAGGAACACCAGUGGCGAAGGCGGCUUACUGGACUGUAACUGACGUUGAGGCUCGAAAGCGUGGGGAGCAAAC
RNAcentral lists this ribosomal RNA (400 nucleotides) under uncultured bacterium. Its description in RNAcentral is "bacterial SSU rRNA". It matches the Rfam family "Bacterial small subunit ribosomal RNA", at positions 356 to 773 of the family's 1533-position model. The record is from RNAcentral.